RNAcentral lists this ribosomal RNA (492 nucleotides) under uncultured bacterium. RNAcentral's name for it is "partial 16S ribosomal RNA". It matches the Rfam family "Bacterial small subunit ribosomal RNA", at positions 29 to 507 of the family's 1533-position model. The record is from RNAcentral.
AGUGAACGCUGGCGGUAGGCCUAACACAUGCAAGUCGAACGGCAGCACAGUAAGAGCUUGCUCUUACGGGUGGCGAGUGGCGGACGGGUGAGGAAUACAUCGGAAUCUACUUUUUCGUGGGGGAUAACGUAGGGAAACUUACGCUAAUACCGCAUACGACCUACGGGUGAAAGCAGGGGAUCUUCGGACCUUGCGCGAUUGAAUGAGCCGAUGUCGGAUUAGCUAGUUGGCGGGGUAAAGGCCCACCAAGGCGACGAUCCGUAGCUGGUCUGAGAGGAUGACCAGCCUCACUGGAACUGGGACACGGUCCAGACUCCUACGGGAGGCAGCAGUGUGGAGUAUUGGACAAUGGGCACAAGCCUGAUCCAGCCAUACCGCGUGGGUGAAGAAGGCCUUCGGGUUGUAAAGCCCUUUUGUUGGGAAAGAAAAGCAGCAGGUUAAUACCCCGCUGUUCUGACGGUACCCAAAGAAUAAGCACCGGCUAACUUCGUG